AGAACGAACGCUGGCGGCAGGCCUAACACAUGCAAGUCGAACGCCGUAGCAAUACGGAGUGGCAGACGGGUGAGUAACGCGUGGGAACGUACCUUUCGGUUCGGAAUAACCCGGGGAAACUCGGGCUAAUACCGGAUACGUCCUGCCCCUUAAUCGGGAUGGGAGAAAGAUUUAUCGCCAUUGGAUGGGCCCGCGUCGGAUUAGCUAGUUGGUGAGGUAACGGCUCACCAAGGCAACGAUCCGUAGCUGGUCUGAGAGGAUGAUCAGCCACACUGGGACUGAGACACGGCCCAGACUCCUACGGGAGGCAGCAGUGGGGAAUAUUGGACAAUGGGCGCAAGCCUGAUCCAGCCAUGCCGCGUGAGUGACGAAGGUCUUCGGAUUGUAAAACUCUUUUUGGCGGGGACGAUAAUGACGGUACCCGCAGAAUAAGCCCCGGCUAACUUCGUGCCAGCAGCCGC
Molecule: ribosomal RNA, 461 nt
Filed under: uncultured bacterium
Lineage: Bacteria
Description: SSU rRNA
Rfam family: Bacterial small subunit ribosomal RNA
Source: RNAcentral